Pongo abelii (Sumatran orangutan) is the source of this 217-nucleotide non-coding RNA. NCBI's taxonomy places the organism in Eukaryota, Metazoa, Chordata, Mammalia, Primates, Hominidae. The record is from Rfam.
CAGAACUAUACUUUCAAGGAAUCAUUUUCUAUAGCUUGCCACUAGAGAAGCUUUUCUGGACAUGUAAAGCACCGGCAACUGCGAGGAGACGCAGUGUUCUCUCCUGAGCCUGAAACCAGCAGUUGGUGUUGCUUUGCUGCAGCUGCUGUUUGCCAUUGAUGGAUGAUUCUUCUCUUCCUCUGGGAGAGCAAGCAGGAAAGGACACAGUCUGAGUGGU